UAGCUUUCCUUUCCUAAACCCUCUUCUCAACAGAUCAGACAUAGAAAAAAAACUAUGACAUAGAUAAAUUUUUAUGAUUUUUUAUAGCCAAGCCAAAAUUAUGCAGUAGAUCCACGAACGUUAGUUCCCUUGCCAUCCUUAGGACGUGCACUUGCCGUUAAUUUCCCUUCAGCAUCUAUUUGAAGAACCAGCUCGAUCUUGGCAUUAGGAGAAACAUCAGGAAGAGUAAUGGUGGCAAUCAAAGUCUUGGGUAUAGCGAUACGCUCUUUAAUCUCCUCUGGCUCCUCUUCUUCAUCAUCAGAAAAUGCCUCUUCCUCAUCAAUAGGCUCCGGUUCAACUUUGGUAACCUUUACUGAACGCUCAGCUUCAUAAAUUGGAAUAAAGGCAGCACCCUCUUUAGGAGCAAUCACCUCAACAGUCUUUCGAGCAGGCAAAGCAGUCUCGAUGUCGAAAAUAGUAACAAAGUUCUCACCUUCGUUGAUACCGAUAGGAGCAGUAAGGUGAGGAACAUCAACCACUUGUGCAUCAGUAGAAGCAGCAAUGUCAGCAGCAUCAAAGUGCCCAAUCAAAGAAGCUUGAACACCGGAACCGAUCGCGGUAAGUUCAGAAGGGUCUAAUUGCAAAGGAGUAACUGAACUAGAGGAACGGAUGAUAGUUUGUUCAGGGAAAAUGGAUUCCAUCAAGGAAGUUAAUUUGGGAGUAUUGGAGGCACCACCAGCUAAAAUAACCUCAGAAAUAUCAAAAGGCUCCAUGUUUGCCUUUUCAACAGCUUCGGUUACAAGAUCGGCCAUGCGAUUUAAAGUGGCGCUUGCUGCAAGGUCAUAACGAAGGCGGUUAAUGCUACUAUGGAAGUCGAUGCCGUCGGCCAAAGAGUCUACAGCAGCAGAAGCGGUAGUACCAUUGCUAAGUACACGCUUAGUGAUCUCACAUUGAGCACGGAGCUUAGCAAGGGAACGGGCAUUUUUGCGAGGAUCAAUUCCAUUCUUCUUUUCAAACUCCUUGGCAAAGAAAUUAACCAACACAUCAGUUAAUUGCUCACCUCCCAAAUUCUCAUCAUGAACUGAAGCCAAAAUGGUCAUUAGACCACCCUUAACAGAUACAACAGAGACCUCAGAGCGAGUGGCACCAAAGUUAGCGACCACAACAGUUUUGUCGAUCAGAACCUCUUCGGAAUACAUUAAGGCCAAAAUAACAGCAGCCGGGUCAUGAAUCAACUGCAAAACUGGAAGUCCAGCUUCAUUGGCAGCAGAUUCCAGAGCCUUACGUUGAGCGUCAGUAAAAUAGACAGGAACAGACAUAACACAUCCGUUGACCUUUGUACCCAAAAAGUCCUCAGCAGACUCAGUAAGACGGCGUAAGUGACGGACACUAGCCUCAUGAGCAGUCAAAAUCUUUUCUUUAGGAUCAGAUUCUUCGUCCUCUUGAACAGUGAUCUUGAAACCAAUUUGACCCUCCACAUUCACGGGAUUGGCAGAAUAAUGACAGUGAUGAAGUGUCAAUUCAUCAUGAGAUUUUCCAAGCAAAUCACGGAAGUUAGUUACUGAGUUAUCAGCAUUUCGAACAAGUUGUCCGCGAGCUUGAACUCCGUGAUACUCUUGGUCACCGUGAUACGACAAAAUUGAAGGGAUUUGACGAUUUCCCUCUUCAUUUGCUAAUACAUCGGUUUUUCCAUCCUGUUUGAUUUGUUAGCUUCUUUAAUUUGAAAAUUUACUAAGGAUUCUCGUCUGCCUGCAUAAAGCAAGUCUAUGCGAAUGAACUAGGAGAUUACUCAUUUCUCCAAGUAAAAAAAUUUUCUUACCCUAUUAAAAGCAAUAGAACUGUUUUGAUUUCCAAAAGAAAUUCCAAUGACAGUCUUGUAUUCUUCGGAAUCUGCCAUUAUAAAAUUUUCGCUGAAUGGGAGAGUUUUCGUUAGCUUCAGCUGCAUCAGAAUUUACGACCCGAAUAUAAGAAAGUAAUAGUACAAUGCGAA
RNAcentral lists this long non-coding RNA (1969 nucleotides) under Schizosaccharomyces pombe (fission yeast). Lineage: Eukaryota; Fungi; Ascomycota; Schizosaccharomycetes; Schizosaccharomycetales; Schizosaccharomycetaceae. The record is from RNAcentral.